RNAcentral lists this ribosomal RNA (244 nucleotides) under uncultured bacterium. RNAcentral's name for it is "partial 16S ribosomal RNA". It matches the Rfam family "Bacterial small subunit ribosomal RNA", at positions 113 to 353 of the family's 1533-position model. The record is from RNAcentral.
ACACGUGGGUAACCUGCCUUAUAGUGGGGGAUAGCCUUUCGAAAGGAAGAUUAAUACCGCAUAAGAUUGUAGUAUCGCAUGAUAUAGCAAUUAAAGGAGCAAUCCGCUAUAAGGUGGACCCGCGUCGCAUUAGCUAGUUGGUGAGGUAAUGGCUCACCAAGGCGACGAUGCGUAGCCGACCUGAGAGGGUGAUCGGCCACAUUGGGACUGAGACACGGCCCAGACUCCUACGGGAGGCAGCAUG